UGAAGAGCCUUUGCGAGGUGACUUAAACAACUUAGCAAAUUUAGUAAAGUCUGAAAGUCGUUAUCCGGCCAACUAGUGGUCAUCAGAUUUGAGUCUCUGGUUUCCCCCUACCUUCUCCCUGGUAAUUUUAGUAACAUUAGUUGUCCACAUCUAAGUGGAAUCUGGUGAAAAAGAAAAGCUCUGAGAAAAGGAAAAUACACUAGUCGAAUGAAAGGCAUUAUUAGGACUGAAACUGAAAACUUCAGAACCAGGAAUAUUUGGCACUGACUUACUGACUAUGCCAUCCUGGGCAUGUCACUUAACCUCUGAGUUUUUGCUUCAUCAUCUGUCAAAUGAAAAAAACUACAAUAGUAACUACGUGAGAGGGCUGCUGUGAGGGUUAAAAAAAAAUAAUGCAUGUAAAACAUUUAACAGAGUGCCUAUAAUAAGCACUCAACAAACAUCCAAAGAAUUUCUGCUACACAGACUCAUUGAAUCCUCGCCAUAACCCCGUUGAAUUAAGAGGGCAUUUGCUGUUACCUUACUCUGUGGCCCGAGAUAGAGCUGUAGUUUAACACAGAACCAUUUGGAGAAAAGAAGAGUUACUUACAUGAUCUAAAUAAAUGAUUUACUCUGGAGGCCCUGUGAUUCCAUUAUUAGAGAUUUCUUCCUUUGCAUUCAUCUCUGGUUUUCAAUGUGACUAAUAACUCGUGAGCGGUAGCAUAUUAAGAGUUUACGGUUUAUGGGGCACCUGGGUGGCUCAGUAGGUUAAACAUUUGACUCUUGGUUUCAGCUCAGGUCACGCUCUCACAGUUUGUGGGACUGAGCCCCACAUCGGGCUCCACACUGACAGCGCGACGCCUGCUUGGGAUUCUCUUUCCCUUCCGCUCUGCCCCUCCCGCGCUUGUGCUCUCUUCCGUUUUCUCAAAAUAAACGAAAAACCUUAAAAACAUAGAGCUUAUGGUUUUACCGGGGAGGGCAGUGAUGUGGGAUGCUCACCACAAUCCAUAAUCCAUAACUAGAUUAUAGUCACCUUGUUUUGCUUCCACUGUAUUUAUUUUUUAUAGUUAAUUUCGACUAACGACAAGGAUACUGGUUGUUUAUUUACAGUGAUAACAUACCACCUCUUUUAAAAUAAAGAUACUUGAGUUUUAAGAAUUGAUUGGCUUAAAGAAGGGCACGACGUUUAAAAAAUGCAGUUGGUGAAUGGAUAUGGCAAAAAUCAUGGUGGUCAUGUCCCAAUGGCUGCAGGUUGGAAAUUGCUACGUGAGAGGGUAAAACACAUACUUGUGGAACUGUCUCAUGAGGCCUUCUCUGCUGUGGCCUCUGCCUAAGUUUCCAGUGUCUUUCCUUAACAUUCCCUGUCCUCUAGUCACAUGGAAGUACUUGUUCUUUCCUCUUUGGGGGCUUUAUAUAUUUAUCUAUCUCUAUAGAAGUUCAUUUCAUGCAUUGGAAUUCUCUUCCCUUUUCACUUCCUUGAAAACUGAAUUUCCUCAAAUCCGCUCCGGAAAACCUUUCCAGACGCCACUUGUGACCAUGCCCCUGAGCCAUUCUCACCAUGCUAAGCAGAGUGGAGAUUUCAUCUAUUCAUGCUUCUUAUCCAGAGGACAACCCCAGAGGAUGACACCUUCCAGGGACCCUGCUCUGUGUGUGCUUCUAAAUAAGGUGCAACCAAGUUUGUUUGGGGAUUCAGAAGUAGAGAGAUGUUUGCUACCUUCUCCUUGUCCGGAGUGAGAUAGUGUGGAACUGUCCCAUGCAUCCAUCGCCUCCCUCCAUCAUUAGGACAGCUAAAGGGCAGGAUUCUUUGCUUGUUUCUUGUUUGUUCACUGCACAUGUACAUUGGAGAAUUGGUCUGAAGCACCGGGACAAGCCAUUACGUCGACCCCUGUCACUGCUUAUGAGAAAGUAGCUUCCUCAGGAUGUCUCCCGUCUCCACCUUGCAAAGCUAGCUCUCCGGCACUAACGCAGGACCAGGAGGUGGGAGAGGGACAGCAGCCACUACUAUUUGCCUGGUUCAUUGUCUCCAUCCGCCUGUCCGGAAUGUGAGCUCCGGGUAGGGCAGCAUAGUCAUCUCUUUUGGACACUACAUAUAUCGCCAGCACCUAGGACAGCGCCUGGUACAUUGUGGACACUCGAUAAGUCUUUGUUGAAUAAAUGAACAAAUUGGUUGUGA
This is a long non-coding RNA of Felis catus (domestic cat), 2152 nucleotides long. RefSeq lists it as uncharacterized. The transcript is spliced from 3 exons. NCBI's taxonomy places the organism in Eukaryota, Metazoa, Chordata, Mammalia, Carnivora, Felidae. The record is from RefSeq and is a predicted model, not a curated record.